GCACAAGCGGUGGAGCAUGUGGUUUAAUUCGAUGAUACGCGAGGAACCUUACCCGGGCUUGAAAUGCAGACGACGGUAGUGGAAACAUUACUUCCAGCAAUGGCGUCUGUGUAGGUGCUGCAUGGUUGUCGUCAGCUCGUGCCGUGAGGUGUCGGCUUAAGUGCCAUAACGAGCGCAACCCUUAUCGUUAGUUGCCAUCGGGUGAUGCCGGGAACUCUAGCGAGACUGCCACCGUAAGGUGUGAGGAAGGUGGGGAUGACGUCAAAUCAGCACGGCCCUUACGUCCGGGGCGACACACGUGUUACAAUGGGGGGUACAGAGGGUUGCUACCAGGUGACUGGAUGCUAAUCUCUAUAAAGCCUCUCUCAGUUCGGAUCGGAGUCUGCAACUCGACUCCGUGAAGCUGGAUUCGCUAGUAAUCGCGCAUCAGCCAUGGCGCGGUGAAUACGUUCCCGGGC
This 458-nucleotide ribosomal RNA is filed under the name uncultured bacterium. RNAcentral's name for it is "bacterial SSU rRNA". It matches the Rfam family "Bacterial small subunit ribosomal RNA", at positions 923 to 1379 of the family's 1533-position model. The record is from RNAcentral.